CUUGGGUAUGGUGACAUGGUACCCAACACAAUUCAAGGAAAGGUAAUAGCUGGUGUAUGCGCCUUAAGUGGUGUUCUCCUUAUAACUUUACCCACUACUGUAGUAGUAUCAAAC
Molecule: non-coding RNA, 114 nt
Organism: Branchiostoma floridae (Florida lancelet)
Lineage: Eukaryota; Metazoa; Chordata; Leptocardii; Amphioxiformes; Branchiostomatidae
Source: Rfam